UCGAGAAUUUUUCACAAUGGGCGAAAGCCUGAUGGAGCGACGCCGCGUGGGGGAUGAAUGGCUUCGGCCCGUAAACCCCUGUCAUUUGCGAACAAACCUUGCCUAUAAACAAUAAGCAAGCUGAUUGUAGCGAAAGAGGAAGGGACGGCUAACUCUGUGCCAGCAGCCGCGGUAAUACAGAGGUCCCAAGCGUUGUUCGGAUUUACUGGGCGUAAAGGGUGCGUAGGUGGUGAGGUAAGUUUGAUGUGAA
This 250-nucleotide ribosomal RNA is filed under the name uncultured bacterium. RNAcentral's name for it is "partial 16S ribosomal RNA". It matches the Rfam family "Bacterial small subunit ribosomal RNA", at positions 355 to 598 of the family's 1533-position model. The record is from RNAcentral.